RNAcentral lists this ribosomal RNA (510 nucleotides) under uncultured Stenotrophomonas sp. Its description in RNAcentral is "bacterial SSU rRNA". It matches the Rfam family "Bacterial small subunit ribosomal RNA", at positions 8 to 507 of the family's 1533-position model. The record is from RNAcentral. Lineage: Bacteria; Pseudomonadati; Pseudomonadota; Gammaproteobacteria; Lysobacterales; Lysobacteraceae.
AGAGUUUGAUCCUGGCUCAGAGUGAACGCUGGCGGUAGGCCUAACACAUGCAAGUCGAACGGCAGCACAGGAGAGCUUGCUCUCUGGGUGGCGAGUGGCGGACGGGUGAGGAAUACAUCGGAAUCUACUCUGUCGUGGGGGAUAACGUAGGGAAACUUACGCUAAUACCGCAUACGACCUACGGGUGAAAGCAGGGGACCUUCGGGCCUUGCGCGAUUGAAUGAGCCGAUGUCGGAUUAGCUAGUUGGCGGGGUAAAGGCCCACCAAGGCGACGAUCCGUAGCUGGUCUGAGAGGAUGAUCAGCCACACUGGAACUGAGACACGGUCCAGACUCCUACGGGAGGCAGCAGUGGGGAAUAUUGGACAAUGGGCGCAAGCCUGAUCCAGCCAUACCGCGUGGGUGAAGGAGGCCUUCGGGUUGUAAAGCCCUUUUGUUGGGAAAGAAAUCCAGCUGGCUAAUACCCGGUUGGGAUGACGGUACCCAAAGAAUAAGCACCGGCUAACUUCGUG